This 252-nucleotide ribosomal RNA is filed under the name uncultured bacterium. RNAcentral's name for it is "partial 16S ribosomal RNA". It matches the Rfam family "Bacterial small subunit ribosomal RNA", at positions 524 to 776 of the family's 1533-position model. The record is from RNAcentral.
UACGGGGGGGCAAGCGUUGUUCGGAAUUACUGGGCGUAAAGGGCUCGUAGGCGGCCAACUAAGUCAGACGUGAAAUCCCUCGGCUCAACCGGGGAACUGCAUCUGAUACUGGAUGGCUUGAGAUUGGGAGAGGGAUGCGGAAUUCCAGGUGUAGCGGUGAAAUUCGUAGAUAUCGGGAGGAACACCAGUGGCGAAGGCGGCUCACUGGACCGGAACUGACGCUGAGGCGCGAAAGCGUGGGGAGCAAACAGG